RNAcentral lists this ribosomal RNA (112 nucleotides) under uncultured bacterium. RNAcentral's name for it is "partial 16S ribosomal RNA". It matches the Rfam family "Bacterial small subunit ribosomal RNA", at positions 1373 to 1482 of the family's 1533-position model. The record is from RNAcentral.
CCCGGGCCUUGUACACACCGCCCGUCACACCACGGGAGUCGACUGGUCCCGAAGUACGUGAGCUAACCCUUUUGGGAGGCAGCGUCCUAAGGAAUGGUCGGUGACUGGGGUG